GUAAUAUAUGUAUUAAAACACCUAGGCUCGAGUGUAAAAGACAAACAUCAUUACAAAACAUAAAACAUCAGUAUUGUCCUUAAUAAAGCACCUAGGCUCGAGUGUAAAGGACAACCACCAUUAAAUGGCAUAGAACAUCUGUGAUGUCCUUAAUAAAACACCUAGGCUCGAGUGUAAAGGACAGGCACCCUUAGAACUUAGUUAGUCAUAGAUACUACUUCCCUAGACGAGAAGUAAAGAGUAAUCUUAAAGAUUGGAGACACGUCCUCUGUCACACUUCCUUGGCACGAGAGAGUGGAGGACUAACCCUGUAACCAGAAUCUCCAGGAGGGAGAACGUGACUUGAGUGUAUAGAUCUAUACGGGACUGACAAUCCCGCACCUGGCUGCUAGCUACAGCCGAACCGAAUGGUUCAAGGGUGACGAAAGUCAUAAAAGGAUACUGCCCCUGGCCCGAGUCAAAUCUAGUUUGAGUAUGGUUAAGGACUCGCAAUCAAGAUUAUUAACAUUUUACACUUAUUAGUUUUAUGUACGUAAUAAAACUAAUGUAUAUUUAAGGAUAAUCAGACCUUCAGGAGACUUCACACACACAUUCAGGAAAACAUGGGGUUUUCCUGGGGAUAACAUUGAACAUAAUCGGAACCGGUAACAGUUCGCACACACAGAACCGGUAACAGUUCACACACACUCAUGUAGGAAAAUAUAGGAUUUUCCUGACUAACAGUAGUACGUAACCAGAAAAGUGUAACAAGUUAGAUAACUAAACUUAACGAUUCACAAGAACAAUCAUGGUAUUCAAUCUAUAUUUUCACGUAUAUCAAACUAUCUUGUAUCUAGUACGGGAUGUUAGUCCCAUGGUUUUCAAACUACUUUCCAUCUACAAUUCACGUAUAUCAAAGUAUUUUAUAUCUAAUUCAGGAUAGUAAUCCCAUGAUUCUCAAUAUAUAGUUUUGUGUAUUAAACUAUACUCUAUGAUAUUCAAUCGGUCUUGUAUUUAAGAAAAUAUGGGAUUUUCUUGGACAACAACUUUUUCAGGAAACCAAAGGAACUCGUACAUUUUUCACAAAACAAAACCGCUUAUGAACUCACCAGCUUUAUGCUGAUUUUCAAACCGCUUGUAUUCCCAGGUUCGCAUUAGACAGGUACCCGACGAUCUCUUUUAGCGAAGACAAAGUGCGUAGAAGACUCGUCACAUUUUGUUCAUAUAUACUAUGUAUCACACUUGUACAAUUUACUUUUGAAACAAAUGUAAACUAUUAUAUAUGUAAUGUAAUGGUUGUCUACUUUGCUUACUAUGUGCAUUGGAUUUGAUACUCAACAUGGAGUCAACCCCGAAAAUGUUUCCGCCUUUGGUUUUCGGGGUGUGACAGAUUGGUAUCAGAGCCCUUGUUUAUAGUGAAUAAAGUAUACCAAACCUUACAUGGUAUAAAACUAUAAACAUUAAGGGGCCUAAGUGCUCUGAACUAAAAGUAUCCUUCAAAAUAUAAGUAUUUUCAAAAGUAUAUAAGUAUACCGAACCGUCGAGAUCCGUAACUACAAGUAGAACAAAACAUAAGUAAAUGGGUGUCGUACGCUGCGGUUAAACCUGGGCAAUUAUGUAGUCGUGUCUAGGAUCAAUAUAGCCUGGCCAACUAUAUUCAUUCGAGACACGGCCAACAUGUGCUUAGGAGUGACUGUGGUAUGCGGCAUGCCUAAAACUUACCCUAAUACCACAAACAUCGAGUCAGCGUCGUAACGAAUCAUGAGAUACUAUGGGAGUAUUUCUCAAGACAAUCCUUGGUAAAAAUCCUCGUUCAUGCAUUGUUCUUUGAUCAUUCCCUUAGCGAUAACUUGUCCCACUUAGAUAACUCUUUCCUGCUUUAUCGCUUAUUCAGCAUAUAUCCGUCAUAUCUCUUGAUUCAAUUCAGAGGACUUAUCAUCCUCUCUUUCUUGAUCUUGUUAGAUCAAGAUGCCUCCAAUAAAGAGACCCAGCUCUAAGACCAACAACCCUCCGCCACCACCUCCUCCCCAAAUUGACCCUGUAGUAUUCCAGGCAGCUGUUACAGCCGCAGUGGUAGCUGCCAUGUCUCACCGGAACUCUGGCGGUUCCGGUGGUUCGGGAGGUGGUACUCAAAACCAAAACCAAGAAAGUAGUCGGGAACACCGAAAAGAGGGUUCCUAUAAGGAUUUCAUGAAUGCAAAAACGACUUCCUUUGAUGGCACUGGAGGUGUUAUUUCCCUCACCCGAUGGUUCAAGAAGAUCGAAUCCAUCUUUGAAAUUUGCGCCUGCUCAGAAUCUGACAAGGUGAAGUUUGCCGCCUGCACCUUUAUUGACAAAGCCCUAACUUGGUGGAACGGCCGAGUCAAAUCCCUAACCUUACCUGUAGCCAACGUCAUGGGUUGGGAAGCCAUGAAGGAACUUCUGCUGGCUGAGUACUGCCCUCGGGGCGAAAUGCAGAAGUUAUAACACGAACUCUGGAACCUGAAGAUGAAAGGUUCCGAUAUCACCGCUUACACUUCCAGGUUCGACGACUUGGCAUUACUCUACACGGGAAUGGUUACCCCGGAGAGUAAGAAGAUAGAGAAAUUCAUCUGGGGGCUGACCCAGCCAACGAAAGGAAACAGCAUAGUUGCGAGGCUAGAUAUAUACGACAACGCCAAACGCUUAACAUAAAUCUUAAUAGAUCAUAGUGAUGACCCUGAGGAGACAACUACCACUCCUGAGCCGACGUAGAGGAUUGGUGAGAAAAGAAAGAUUGGGAAGAAGGAGAAAAGUCAGAUAUCGCAAGAGUCUUCGAAGAGAUAGCAAACGAUGGCAGUUCAUGUUGCCACUUCUCCUGCAACUGUUUCUGUUGUUGGAUCCUCAACUCGGAAACCUGCUGGUAGGUAUGCUGAAACCCUUCCAAGUUGUGACAAGUGCAACUAUCAUCACCUUCCUUCCGGUCCAUGUAUAGAGGUAUUUUGCAAUAAUUGUGGCAUAAAGGGUCACAUGGUGAAAAACUGUAAGACACCAACCCAAUCAACCAUUCAAGCUUCCGGAGCGGGCAUUGGUCGGGCCUGCUAUGGUUGGGGAGAAGUCGGACAUUUCAAGCGAAAAUGCCCCAAGGCAGUAACAUAUGGAAACACCGGAAGAGUUCUAGCGAUAGGACAAGAGGAGACAGCCACCGAUCCCACCGUUGUCGCAGGUAUAUUUCCCCUCGUUGAAUCUUAUGCCUGUGAUUCUUUUCGAUUUUAUUGCCGAAAGAAAUUCGCUAACCAUCCAUUUGAACAUCUUUUAAACCCUGUCGUUCGUGAGUAAUCGAAAAUGUAUAUCGUCGAGAUGGUUAUCAAGUGAGAAUGAGAACGCUAACGUCAUAUCCGUAGAUUGUAUCCUUAAUCCGAACAAUUAUUCUUUUCCGUUCGAUCUAAUGGCAAACUAUUCAUGAAAUGCUUUGAUGUUGUCUUUACCAUGUAAUGACCGAGCCUCAUUCAUGUUGUUAUUCCUGGUUUCAAGAAAGCCAUACGUCUUAACCUUCCUCCGACCCGACUUUCAUGAUCUUCAUGCAUCAAAGCUUAAAAAGUUUUUCCCAUGUAUUCCUUAUCCAUGUGAUCAUCGUGAAACGAGAACUCUGCAACUCCUUCCCCGAUGCCUUUUUCCGAAGAUUUCCUGAGAAUUUCCCUUCGAAUGUGUAGUUAAGUUUCGCAUCGACCUAAUCCCUGGAAUUACCUCGUAGCCAAAACCUCNGAGGACGAUGAAGGCAGCAACCAGGACUUGAUACGAUCACUACGAGGUAGUGGUGGUGCCCUUCGGCCAAGCCAUUUUCCUGGUUAUGUAGAUAAGCAAAGCAGUCAUACUCAUGGACCUUUCCAAAAGCUAAGUCAAUAAAGAAUUAGUCGGCACCGGAGGUACCCAUAGAAACCCGUCAACUCUUGGGUCCCACCGACUAUUAUUGCAAACCCGUCUAGAAAUUUCCUUUAGAACCAUCAGACCCUUAGCUACUCUGCCACAUGAAGAUGUGCCCACUUGUUGCAAGUCUUACUCUGGAAAGACAUAGUACGCCUUGGGAAGUGCGGAAAACUUAACUCGUAGAACAUUAGACCCUUCGAGAUCCUCGUUAGGAAUCGAUUCUGUAGCCCUCUUCGAGUUAUCUUCAGAAUUCAGCAGCAACCAUCUGGUAUUCGACAUCUUUGUUCGUAAGGAGUGUUGACUUGACGAAACCCUAGAAAUCCCUUGAUGAGAUCGAAAUCAAUGGAAGUCCGAACCUUCAUGGAUGAAUCAAUUAAGUUCAUGGAUUGAUAGGUUGACCGUUCGAAACAAAGCCUCAUCCUGACAGUGAGGGUUCACUGGAAUGUAAAGCAGGGACCCGAUUCCACUUAGGAGCAUGAAGACCCGAAGCAGUAGAUUCACCCUCAUAUCUCUUUUCACUUCGCGAUCUGCGUUCAAAUCUUUGAAUUUCAGGAUGAAAUUCCCUCUAACGGGNCCCUCUAACGGGGGGAUAAUGUAACAACUCGAAAUUUCGUAUCAUUGCUUGUAACCCUUUUCGUAACCCAAUUCUAUCAACCAAUCGUCGUUUCCAAAUUUACUUCCGAUUUCGUCAUUUAAUUAAGUCAUUAAUGUGUAUUUUAUAUAACUCAUUCAAACACCCCAUAUUAAUGAUCGGAUCAUUUCUAGAAUCAACCAUACCGAGUUACGACAACUUGAUCGGGUGCGACCAAAAGCCCCGUCUAAAGCCGAUAUCGAGUAGAAUUUCACCGUGUCCAAAUCUUGAACACUAUUUAAAGUGUUCUAAGCCUUCAUUUGAAGCUUUUGCUUCAUCCCACUACUCUCUCUCUAACCUCUCUCCUCAACCAAAGAUUCAAGGUCCAAAACAUUAAAUUAAGGCUCCAAAUCUUUGAGGUAACAUCCCCAACUUGUUGUUUAACCUCUUAGGCCUUCAAAUUCGUGUUUAAUNAAAUCUUUGAGUAACAUCCCCAACUUGUUGUUUAACCUCUUAGGCCUUCAAAUUCGUGUUUAAUUUAUCAUUUUGGACUUGGAACAUGUGUUUAUGGCCAAGGAGCAUGCUUGGGCUGUAAACACAUAAAAACAUGCAUUUUUGAGCAAUUUAACCCUUCCAAACCAUCAUUAGGACUUAGAUAUGACCUUAAGGCUUGCAAAACCAGACUUAGAUCACCCUAGACAUGGAUUUUGAGGGACAAAUAAGAGUUUACGGCCAAGGAGCAUGCUUUGGCCAUAAACUCAUCAUUCAUGGAGAGUAAACUUAUUUAAACUUGUUAGAAAGCCAUACAACUACACCAAAAGCCUUGGAAUAAAUCCUAGAAUCAUCUAAAAAUAUUUUGGGGACCUUAAACAAGUCAAACACCCUCCAAUUAAGUGUUUACGUCCAAGGAACCCCAAGAACAUGUUCAUGGGCCGUAAACUCCUUUAUACAUGUCAAAUGAUACCCUAAAUUCAUACCAAGGCUUGGAAAAUUAGUUAGAAUCGCAUAUCAUUGUCCCAAGCCUCACAAAAUAAAUAUGGUUUGAACUUGGGGGAGUUUACGGCCGUAAACUCCAUGUUUAUAGCUAUGAACUCCCAUAAAUGGUGUAUAUGUUCAUACAAUCUAUUCCUAGGCUUUAGAAAAAUCCAUUCUAAUAUUCCCCAUGUGUAUUGAAGCUAUUUAGCAUCCUAAAUCACCCAACCAUGAGUUCACGGCUGUGAACUCAUGUAUGUAUGGGAUAUAUGGCCGCAAAAUCCAUUAGGAGUAUACUCUUAAAGAGUAAACUCAAUUCCCAAGUCCCUCGUAUCAUUACUCGUCCGUAGAUGUCACCCGGGUCACUCCAAACACUCGUUAUGAAGUGUUUUCGCUCAUUGGAGUGUAAUAUCAUAUCUAAUUAGAGUUUAUAAAUCUAAUUAGAUAUAUUUGUAUACCAUUUCAUAUUACGUAGGAACCUCGCAUGUUAUCAAGCCUCGAUUCGACACUAGCAUCCGGAACGUCGCAUUUUAUGGUUUGGUGAGUUCAUACCCCUACUCUUUUUCAAUGGUUUUUCGAUGUUUUCAGGGGGGGGGGGGGAAUACAAGCAAAAGUACAAGAAUAUCUUGUACUUAAACUCAUGAUUUCAGUUAAAUGGUUUCAUAAUUUGUACAUUUUUAAGAAUUGAAAACCUUAUAACAAACUGUUUUAACUUGCUGAGUUGUUCAAAUCGAUUUUCAAUUCUUAUUAUAUAUUGUUAUGUUCUAUACUUCACAUUUGAUUGUUCACACUUAUAUUGAUAUAAAACAUCAAACAUUUGUAAUAUAUGUAUUAAAACACCUAGGCUCGAGUGUAAAAGAGAAACAUCAUUACAAAACAUAAAACAUCAGUAUUGUCCUUAAUAAAACACCUAGGCUCGAGUGUAAAGGACAACCACCAUUAGAUGGCAUAGAACAUUUGUGAUGUCCUUAAUAAAACACCUAGGCUCGAGUGUAAAGGACAGGCACCCUUAGAACUUAGUUAGUCAUAGAUACUACUUCCCUAGACGAGAAGUAAAGAGUAAUCUUAAAG
This 6478-nucleotide long non-coding RNA is filed under the name Lactuca sativa (garden lettuce). RNAcentral's name for it is "long non-coding RNA (LSAT_LNC006838)". The record is from RNAcentral. Lineage: Eukaryota; Viridiplantae; Streptophyta; Magnoliopsida; Asterales; Asteraceae.